AUGCCGCAACUCAGGGGCGCGGGAGUCUUCGGCUACGCCGAAGGCACAACACCGGAGCCGGCCAAGUUCCUCACCACCAAAGAUAAGGAUGGGAAGGAAACCUCUGAGCCCAACCCUCUCCACCCUCCCUGGGUCCGGGAGGACCAGCAGGUGCUGGGCUAUCUCCUCAGCACCCUCACCAAGGAGGUCCUGCUGAAGGUGACCACGACCACCACGGCGAGCAUGCUCUGGACGACGCUCGCAGGUAUGUUCUCCUCGCAGUCUUUGAGCCGUGUCAAUAACAUACACACGGCCCUGCUCAGCGCG
This 306-nucleotide ribosomal RNA is filed under the name Triticum aestivum (bread wheat). Its description in RNAcentral is "partial small subunit ribosomal RNA". Lineage: Eukaryota; Viridiplantae; Streptophyta; Magnoliopsida; Poales; Poaceae. The record is from RNAcentral.